This is a non-coding RNA of Paramuricea clavata, 81 nucleotides long. Lineage: Eukaryota; Metazoa; Cnidaria; Anthozoa; Malacalcyonacea; Plexauridae. The record is from the annotation of a GenBank genome assembly.
GACCGCGUAGCUCAUUUGGUAGAGCAUUGGGCUAGUAUUCCAAAGGUCGUAGCCUUGUAGGUUCGUAUCCCAUCGUGGCCA